AAAAAUUCAAAUUAACGUCCGAUGUCAUUUUGGAAAUGAUUUCGUAGGCGUGGGCACGAAUACGAAGCUUGAAGGAGUUGUGGAAUUAGUUCGAACGAUUUUAUUUCGAAAACGAACGUUAUUUAGGGGGUCUUAAAAAGUGACUUCUUAUACGUACAGAAUUUGGGAAAACUUUCUUCAUGAAAGUUGUAGAGCUCGUCGAUACGAUCUCGUGCGUAUGUUGAACGCAAUAUUCGGAGUUUGUAUGAAUAAGUUAUGAAUAUUUGAAAAUCGGGAUUUUUUUUCUAUAAAUAUGGAGAAUUUCUGGAAUUUUUCUUAAAUCCCAAAAUUUCCUAUUCUUUCUAUUUUCUCCCCCGGUUUUCUCUCUUCUCUCUCCUCUCCCCCGACCUUUUUCUCUUCUUUCUGGGCGUUCUUCCUCUGCCAGCAGCGCCACCGUCCGGCCACCUCAAGCCGCUCUCGAGGUGUCCACGGCUUCGCCUCGACGUCGUCUAGCUACUGGACGUGACCACUUUCCCCGGAACGGCCUCAAAUCCGGCAAACCGGAGCUGCAAGGUUUGAGCCAAAAACAGUCAACGCCGGUUUUCUCCUAAUUCCGGCCACCAAAACUCACGAUCCUUAGCUCCCUGAACUCACCUCAACAUGCUGAUCAUCAUCCUAGAAGGAUCGCACCUGGAGUGACCGGAUUCACGUUCGUCGGAGCUCGGCCGGCUUUAAUUCGAAAACCACCUUCGAAUCCGAUUUUCUCGAGUUAUAGACCACCUUUUCUUGUGAUUCUUGGCCUGGUGAGUUCACCUUGAGAUUAUUAACAACUCUCAAGAAGGGAUCGAGGCCUGAGGUUGAAGUUUUUACGUCGGAAUUCAAGCUCGCCGGAUUCUGGAAAAUUUCCGACCACGAAGACUUUCGAUCAAGAUAUCGCGAGCUGUAGUGCAUCGUUUUGAUUGAUUCUUUUUCCAGUGGGUUCCCCUUGAUGUUGUUAACAACUCUCUAGAAGGCAUCGAGGCCUGAAAUUGAAUCUUUGACGUCGAAAUCGAGCCUUGCCGCAUUCUGCAAAAUUCUGGAAUUUUUCCGACCACCGAAGCUUUCGAUCGGUAUAUCUCGAGCUACAGACCAUAUUUUUCUGUGAUUCUUGAACCAGUGAGUUCUUCUUGAGUUUCUUAACAACUCUUCAGAAGGAAUCGAAGCCUUAAAUUGACGUUUUUACGUCGAAUUGGAGCUCGCCGUUUUCUGCAGUUUCUCGCCGGUUUCUGGAAAAUUCCGGCCACCUUCAUACUGUUCAAGGUGAUUGACGGUUUGAGUUGGCGGACGAUUGUGAAUCGUAUUUUGAGCUGUUAAGAAGACGCAGCGGGAUUAGAGCGGGUAAUCCUACAGGUCAGGAGAACCAGGACGGUGAUCGGGCUGCUUAGAGUAGUGUUAUGUGAAUUACAGCAUUAUAUUGUGAGGUUUGUUAUGCUCAUUUAGAG
Molecule: long non-coding RNA, 1460 nt
Organism: Rosa rugosa (rugosa rose)
Lineage: Eukaryota; Viridiplantae; Streptophyta; Magnoliopsida; Rosales; Rosaceae
Exons: 3
Source: RefSeq, a predicted model, not a curated record